GAUAGAAAUAGGCGUUGCACAGUAUUUACAGUUAUAUAUUAGGCAAUUAUUAUGCUAGUAGUGAUUGCUAUUACACACCACGGGGAUCUUAAUGGUGGGCACGAGCCUGCGUGAAAAAUGGAUUUGGUCGUAAGAGCGUGAGAAAUGGGGCAAUUCCGUGUGCCAUGCCAUGUAGGAGUAUUUUCUCAAGGCCUGCGACUGAGGGUCAUAUUUCAAUUCAAAGGUUGACAGCGUCAGACAGUUUUUGGAGGAGGGCUCAGCGUUGGAUGCCAGAUUCAAGUCAAAAGUGUCAGAUGAAGUGUGGUACAGACUGGAGGAGGAGCUGAUAUAAAUGAACAGGCUCAGGGCCAGCAGAUGAAUCAGGGGCUUAAAGAGAGAGCAGAUGACCAAGGUGACUGCAUAUAUGAUGAAGACAUCUGUGAAUCUGCCAGUGAAACAGUGAAGAGGCCAAAGCUCUCUGCCCCCGAGAAGCUGUUUGCUGUAGAGAACAUGGAAAUAAAAUGCUUUCAUAAAACAUCAUAAGGUGGAAACUGUUGGACAGUUAGGACAGGCUAUGAACUCUGAGAUGGCAAAGAGAAAGGAGACAUAAGCCUGCCCCAAUCCAAAUUUAUGCUUUGAUUUUAUAUCUGAAGUCUAGUAUUUGUUGCUGGCUGGAUUCAUGUUGUUAAUGUGCAGUUAAUGGAUAUACUAUAUAUGUGCUUAACAUAUAUAUUAUGUGCAUAAAUGUAUACCCCAUUGUUUGUAAAAUCUGAUUUUAGUGCCCACUGAUUUAUUGGGGGAGUGUGAUGAAAA
This is a non-coding RNA of Paramisgurnus dabryanus, 792 nucleotides long. The record is from RefSeq and is a predicted model, not a curated record. Lineage: Eukaryota; Metazoa; Chordata; Actinopteri; Cypriniformes; Cobitidae.